GCUUAACCGGAGAAGUGCAUCGGAAACUGGAUAACUUGAGUGCAGAAGAGGGUAGUGGAACUCCAUGUGUAGCGGUGGAAUGCGUAGAUAUAUGGAAGAACACCAGUGGCGAAGGCGGCUACCUGGUCUGCAACUGACGCUGAGACUCGAAAGCAUGGGUAGCGAACAGGAUUAGAUACCCUGGUAGUCCAUGCCGUAAACGAUGAGUGCUAGGUGUUGGAGGGUUUCCGCCCUUCAGUGCCGGAGCUAACGCAUUAAGCACUCCGCCUGGGGAGUACGACCGCAAGGUUGAAACUCAGAGGAAUUGACGGGGGCCCGCACAAGCGGUGGAGCAUGUGGUUUAAUUCGAAGCUACGCGAAGAACCUUACCAGGUCUUGACAUCUUGCGCCAACCCUAGAGAUAGGGCGUUUCCUUCGGGAACGCAAUGACAGGUGGUGCAUGGUCGUCGUCAGCUCGUGUCGUGAGAUGUUGGGUUAAGUCCCGCAACGAGCGCAACCCUUGUUACUAGUUGCCAGCAUUAAGUUGGGCACUCUAGUGAGACUGCCGGUGACAAACCGGAGGAAGGUGGGGACGACGUCAGAUCAUCAUGCCCCCUAUGACCUGGGCUACACACGUGCUACAAUGGACGGUACAACG
RNAcentral lists this ribosomal RNA (637 nucleotides) under uncultured bacterium. RNAcentral's name for it is "bacterial SSU rRNA". It matches the Rfam family "Bacterial small subunit ribosomal RNA", at positions 607 to 1244 of the family's 1533-position model. The record is from RNAcentral.